Molecule: ribosomal RNA, 819 nt
Filed under: Escherichia coli
Lineage: Bacteria; Pseudomonadati; Pseudomonadota; Gammaproteobacteria; Enterobacterales; Enterobacteriaceae
Description: partial 23S ribosomal RNA
Rfam family: Bacterial large subunit ribosomal RNA
Source: RNAcentral
CCAGACAGCCAGGAUGUUGGCUUAGAAGCAGCCAUCAUUUAAAGAAAGCGUAAUAGCUCACUGGUCGAGUCGGCCUGCGCGGAAGAUGUAACGGGGCUAAACCAUGCACCGAAGCUGCGGCAGCGACGCUUAUGCGUUGUUGGGUAGGGGAGCGUUCUGUAAGCCUGCGAAGGUGUACUGUGAGGUAUGCUGGAGGUAUCAGAAGUGCGAAUGCUGACAUAAGUAACGAUAAAGCGGGUGAAAAGCCCGCUCGCCGGAAGACCAAGGGUUCCUGUCCAACGUUAAUCGGGGCAGGGUGAGUCGACCCCUAAGGCGAGGCCGAAAGGCGUAGUCGAUGGGAAACAGGUUAAUAUUCCUGUACUUGGUGUUACUGCGAAGGGGGGACGGAGAAGGCUAUGUUGGCCGGGCGACGGUUGUCCCGGUUUAAGCGUGUAGGCUGGUUUUCCAGGCAAAUCCGGAAAAUCAAGGCUGAGGCGUGAUGACGAGGCACUACGGUGCUGAAGCAACAAAUGCCCUGCUUCCAGGAAAAGCCUCUAAGCAUCAGGUAACAUCAAAUCGUACCCCAAACCGACACAGGUGGUCAGGUAGAGAAUACCAAGGCGCUUGAGAGAACUCGGGUGAAGGAACUAGGCAAAAUGGUGCCGUAACUUCGGGAGAAGGCACGCUGAUACGUAGGUGAAGCGACUUGCUCGUGGAGCUGAAAUCAGUCGAAGAUACCAGCUGGCUGCAACUGUUUAUUAAAAACACAGCACUGUGCAAACACGAAAGUGGACGUAUACGGUGUGACGCCUGCCCGGUGCCGGAAGGUUAAUUGAUGGG